Ictidomys tridecemlineatus (thirteen-lined ground squirrel) is the source of this 1758-nucleotide long non-coding RNA. NCBI's taxonomy places the organism in Eukaryota, Metazoa, Chordata, Mammalia, Rodentia, Sciuridae. The record is from Ensembl.
UUGGCAGAGAGAAUCUAACACCUAUAUAGAGGAGAUGGAGCAUAAAAUUGGGCGGACUGAUUCAGAGGUUUGUUUUGAUUUUUUAAAUCAUUUAUUAAAAAUAAAAAUGAGUGCGCUGGGUGUGGGGAGGGGGGAUUGGAUGCACUAACUCAAAGGGGCUGUCGGCAGACGACGUACAAAUGAAAGCGGGCUUUCUAAGUUUCCUAAGCACUAAAUGCAGAGAUAUGAGCAGUGAUCAUGGAACCAGACUGGGGAAGGCAGCCUUGGAGUUGAAGAAUCCUGCCAGAGGAAAGCUUAUAUGCCUGCACUGGAACUUCCAGCGACUGCCUAAGGACCGCCCUGGCCCGGAGUCCUGCAUCCUUUCCCACACGUCCGCGGGUCGGAGUCGGAGCUGGGUCCCGCAUCGUGGCUGGCUCUGCGGCCAGGAGGCUCCUGCUCCCACCGCGCUGCCCUGUUCUCUGCGGCUCGCGCCUACAGGCCCCGGGAUUGGCUACACCGCAGCAGUGGUCCAGCUCCGGAGCUGCAGCGCUCAGUACGAUUUCCUCGGAUGCUCUCGCUGAUAUUAAAUCUUUCCUCUUUACCGACGGCCCUUUUGUUUUCGUAACCUAGUCAUCUUUGGGAGGCAACAACAGCCGGUGUCCGUGGAUAACCAGACAAUCCCAUACCCGUCUUUGUAUUCCUGUGCCUUUAAACUCUGCAAAUAUUUUUUUUUUUUGCCCCUUCACGGAAAAGGCGUUCCUUAGUCUCCUUCCAACCACGCCAGCCCCACUUACCUCUCCUGAGCUCUAAGCCUGGCUCAGGUCAAGUGGGAAUCUCUUGUGAUCCCGCAACACUCGGUUUCGGUUUUGGUUUGGAGUGACUGGUUGUUUUGUUGCUGGGGAGGGGAGAGGUUAUUUUCUGUUAACUAUUUUUCUUUUAUUGCGCAGUCCAAGAAAACUCUUUGUUUUAAUGAAAUAUAUUGUCCCCGGCAUCAGGGACUGAGUUCCAAUUCUGGACACUUCACUGUCUCUGCUCUUCCCCCACCCAAGUUAAAUUUCUAUGGUAGGUCCAUGAUCUUUUCCAAAUAGCCCAGACCCUCGCUGCCCUGGGUCCUCCUCGGAUUUACUCCUUUAAUUUGUCUAGUGUGUUAGCUCUGGGUCAGAGCUCCCUUUGUGCUGCUGUCCUGAGACUCUGUAUGUGUGUGUGUGUAUGUGUGUGUGUGUUUUCUUUUGUUAUUUUCUACCCUAACACUGCAAAAAUGAAACACACAUGCAGCUCUGUCGCCUCAUAUUUUCAGAUGUUUUUCACACUAUUGUCUGCUCCAGCCCAUUGAAAGUGCAAAGUGAAAACAGAUGCAUCCGAAUUUUUUUUUUUUGAAAGGGGACAAUCCUAGAAUGGAGACUAACCUCUCAAAUAAAGAUAAGCAAUAAAUAUAAUAUCAGAUUUAUAACGUGCAUCAAGCAGUCUUGAUUAGCACCAAGGUGAGCUUUGGUGAGAUUUUUAUCAUUUCCAUGUGUCUGGACUACAAGAAGAAAUCAAUGGGGGAAGAGCUCUAUAAAUCAGCGUUCAUGUCAUGACAAAUCAAAAUAAUGCCUCUAUUAUUUCAAUCAAUAAACCAUUUUUAUUUCCAACAUCUGAUACACACAGUGUGUGUCCGUCUGUUUGUAUUUGGAAUUGGCAGCUUUGCCUUAUACCAAAACAAACCUUUCAAGUCGUGUCAAUGAAAUUAAAAUUUUAAAAAGGAGAACCCAAUGUGUCCUUCCAUGCCUUCAGAGCCAC